CAGCUGCACAACGAGAUGAGGCUGGUCAUUGUCAUUUUCUGAGCUGUGAACGGGCAGGAAGCUGCACAACGGGAUGAGGCUGGUCAUUGUCAUUUUCUGAGCUGUGAACGGGCAGGAAGCUGCACAACGAGAUGAGGCUGGUCAUUGUCAUUUUCUGAGCUGUGAACGGGCAGGAAGGUG
Molecule: long non-coding RNA, 180 nt
Organism: Sycon ciliatum
Lineage: Eukaryota; Metazoa; Porifera; Calcarea; Leucosolenida; Sycettidae
Exons: 3
Source: RefSeq, a predicted model, not a curated record